Molecule: transfer RNA, 92 nt
Filed under: Cryptococcus neoformans
Lineage: Eukaryota; Fungi; Basidiomycota; Tremellomycetes; Tremellales; Cryptococcaceae
Also listed under: 1 other name
Description: tRNA-Ala
Rfam family: tRNA
About the family: Transfer RNA (tRNA) molecules are approximately 80 nucleotides in length. Their secondary structure includes four short double-helical elements and three loops (D, anti-codon, and T loops).
Source: RNAcentral
GGGGGUGUAGCUCAUUUGGCAGAGCGCGUCAUUAGCAUCGUUUAAACCAAAGAUUAUUGACGAGGUACUGGGUUCAAUUCCCAGCUCCUCCA